Molecule: ribosomal RNA, 439 nt
Filed under: uncultured bacterium
Lineage: Bacteria
Description: partial 16S ribosomal RNA
Rfam family: Bacterial small subunit ribosomal RNA
Source: RNAcentral
CUACGGGUCGCUGCAGUGAGGAAUAUUGCACAAUGGGGGGAACCCUGAUGCAGCAACGCCGCGUGGAGGAUGACGCAUUUCGGUGUGUAAACUCCUUUUAUAUGUCAAGAAAAUGACGGUAGCAUAUGAAUAAGCACCGGCUAACUCCGUGCCAGCAGCCGCGGUAAUAAGGAGGGUGCAAGUGUUACUCGGAAUCACUGGGCGUAAAGGACGCGUAGGCGGGUUGGAAAGUCAGGUGUGAAAUCCUACAGCUUAACUGUAGAACUGCACUUGAAACUUCUAAUCUAGAGUAUGGGAGGGGGAGAUGGAAUUAGUGGUGUAGGGGUAAAAUCCGUAGAUAUCACUAGGAAUACCUAAAGCGAAGGCGAUCUCCUGGAACAUUACUGACGCUAAGGCGUGAAAGCGUGGGGAGCAAACAGGAUUAGAUACCCCCGUAGUC